AUUUUUUUGUUCUGCAUGUCACGAAAUUGGACACGAGGUCUCAAGCUAUCGUCUUUUUUGCCAAAGUCUGAUAAUUUUACAGCUUCUGCUCCAAAAUAAGUUCUGUCCUUUAAACCAAUCAAACAGAUGAUGGAGGCUCUUGAUCUAUAACGUAAGGAAAUAAGACUUGGAAACGAGGAUGUCUCUCUAAGAAUGAACGUGAUCAAUGAAACCUUACAGCAGUAAAUCCCUAUUUAAAGCAUCUUACAAGGGCUGCAUCCAAUCGUCUUAGAAGAAGAUGCUUUUUUGGAAUUGUCGCGGAAUUGGUAAUUCUCAAACCCAAUUGGUUUUAUGCGGCUAUUGUAAAGAAAAUUAGCCAAGCUUUGUUUGUUUGGCUAAACCUUUGGUUGAAUGGCAAAUUGUUUCUUCUUUUCGACUUUCAUUGGAUAUGAGGUUAUUGGGUUUUAAUUCACUAGUAGGUGUUUUGCUUAAUAUUUGGGGGCUAGUUUCUGAUUUGGUUUCAGAUUUCUCUUUGAUUCGUGUGGAUGGGAAGCAGUUGAUAGAUAUUUAUAUGCAUUUGCAAUGUAAACAUUGUGUUACCUUUUUUUAUGCUAGUAUUUUUCAUACACGUAGACACCUUCUCUAGUUCUUAAUUAGUUUUUUUUACUGUUGUUGAUCCUUGGACCAUUAUUGGUGAUUUUAAUUCAAUUUUGGGUGCUCAUCAGAAGACGGUGUGAGCCCCGCUUUGUAUUUCUUGUGAGAAGUUUCAUAUGGCUAUUAAGGAGGCCAAUAUUCUGCCUAUUGAUACAAAAGGAUCUUUUUUCACUUGGGAUCGGAGAGGAACUCAAAGUUAUGUGGAGUAUAAGAUGGAUCACUCUUUUUGUUUGUAGUCGUGUCUUCAAUUUUGGGACUUGAUGCAUUUUUUGGCUUUGUCUAGGCAUUGUUCAGAUCAUAUCCCUCUUUUUUUAAGCUAUGCUACAAAUUCUAUUUCGGGACCAAGGCCUUUUCGAUUCCUUGCUAUGUGGACAUCGAAUUCUUCUCUUUUGAAAGUUGUCCCUCUUUGGCAGUCCUGUGCAUUGUGUGAUGUUGAAGCUUAAGGCAAUCAAAUAUGCUAUUAAGAGUUGGAAUUGGGUUACAUUUGGUGAUUUGAAUUCUAAGAUAGUUGAAGCUCAUCACAAACUAUUCAAGAUGAGAUUGCUUUAAAUGGUUUUUCAGAGGAUCUUUUUUAGGUUUAGUUGGUUGCUCAUGAUCAAUUGGACUUGGAGUUAAAGCUUCAAGAAUUGUUUCUUAGAGACAAUGCUGUUUUAAAUGGUUAAAAGAGGGUGAUAGAAACACUUUUUCUUCACUCUAUGUUGCAAGUUUAUAAAGCUUCUAAGCCAUUAUCUUCUUUAAUGGUUGAUGGGGCUUUGUCUUUGGAUUUACAUGUGAUUCAAGAUCAUGUGGUUAACUAUUUUUCAAAUAUAUUUAAUUC
Ziziphus jujuba (common jujube) is the source of this 1450-nucleotide long non-coding RNA. RefSeq lists it as uncharacterized. Lineage: Eukaryota; Viridiplantae; Streptophyta; Magnoliopsida; Rosales; Rhamnaceae. The transcript has 2 exons. The record is from RefSeq and is a predicted model, not a curated record.